AUUCCAUGAUGGGGACAUUCUAGGAUGUAGUCUUGAAAGCGCUCCCAUGCUUCUGGAACAGAUUCAUCAUUUUGUUGCUAAAAACUCGUAAUCUUCCCACGGAGAGC
Sorghum bicolor (sorghum) is the source of this 107-nucleotide small nucleolar RNA. It matches the Rfam family "Plant small nucleolar RNA R71". Rfam says of the family: R71 is a member of the C/D box family of snoRNAs containing the C (UGAUGA) and D (CUGA) box motifs. Multiple nearly identical copies of this snoRNA have been identified in Arabidopsis, and it is thought to function as a 2'-O-ribose methylation guide for 18S ribosomal RNA. NCBI's taxonomy places the organism in Eukaryota, Viridiplantae, Streptophyta, Magnoliopsida, Poales, Poaceae. The record is from Rfam.